Molecule: ribosomal RNA, 484 nt
Filed under: uncultured bacterium
Lineage: Bacteria
Description: partial 16S ribosomal RNA
Rfam family: Bacterial small subunit ribosomal RNA
Source: RNAcentral
AUUGAACGCUGGCGGCAGGCCUAACACAUGCAAGUCGAGCGGAUGAAGGGAGCUUGCUCCUGGAUUCAGCGGCGGACGGGUGAGUAAUGCCUAGGAAUCUGCCUGGUAGUGGGGGAUAACGUCCGGAAACGGGCGCUAAUACCGCAUACGUCCUGAGGGAGAAAGUGGGGGAUCUUCGGACCUCACGCUAUCAGAUGAGCCUAGGUCGGAUUAGCUAGUUGGUGGGGUAAAGGCCUACCAAGGCGACGAUCCGUAACUGGUCUGAGAGGAUGAUCAGUCACACUGGAACUGAGACACGGUCCAGACUCCUACGGGAGGCAGCAGUGGGGAAUAUUGGACAAUGGGCGAAAGCCUGAUCCAGCCAUGCCGCGUGUGUGAAGAAGGCCUUCGGAUUGUAAAGCACUUUAAGUUGGGAGGAAGGGCAGUAAGUUAAUACCUUGCUGUUUUGACAUUACCAACAGAAUAAGCACCGGCUAACUUCGUG